RNAcentral lists this ribosomal RNA (434 nucleotides) under uncultured bacterium. Its description in RNAcentral is "partial 16S ribosomal RNA". It matches the Rfam family "Bacterial small subunit ribosomal RNA", at positions 29 to 508 of the family's 1533-position model. The record is from RNAcentral.
AACGAACGCUGGCGGCAUGCCUAACACAUGCAAGUCGAACGAGACCUUCGGGUCUAGUGGCGCACGGGUGCGUAACGCGUGGGAACCUGCCCUUAGGUUCGGAAUAACUCCCCGAAAGGGGUGCUAAUACCGGAUAAUGUCUUCGGACCAAAGAUUUAUCGCCUUUGGAUGGGCCCGCGUUGGAUUAGCUAGUUGGUAGGGUAAGAGCCUACCAAGGCGACGAUCCAUAGCUGGUCUGAGAGGAUGAUCAGCCACACUGGGACUGAGACACGGCCCAGACUCCUACGGGAGGCAGCAGUGGGGAAUAUUGGACAAUGGGCGAAAGCCUGAUCCAGCAAUGCCGCGUGAGUGAGGAAGGCCUUAGGGUUGUAAAGCUCUUUUACCCGGGAUGAUAAUGACAGUACCGGGAGAAUAAGCUCCGGCUAACUCCGUGC